GUUGGGGCCGGCACGUGACUCGGACAAUAGGGUGAAUAAGAGGAUGUGCGGAGUGCGUCAAGGGAGGGGGCGAGGUUGUGUUCUGAAGAAUUAAUUAUUCAUUUAUCGGCCUACAUUCUCAAAGAGAAAACAACUACAACAGCAACUUUAUGAAAAAAUAAUAUGCAGCGACCUGUCCCCUCGUCCAUAUUUUAAGUGCGCAAAACAAAUCACACGGAAAGACAUCGGUGCAGAGAUGGCGUGGUGUUGAAAUUCUGUCUUGGACUGCUCGGAAUUAAAUAAAUCCACCUCAAGUGAACCAUGUCCGAAAUAAGAACGGAGAGUGCUGGUCACUUCACCUGGAAAGAUAAGGCAGAGUUCACUCCAAUCGCCACAGUCCAAACAUGGACCAAAGAGCUGAAUGCGAGAGGUGGAGUGACAGUGAUGCUUUUGUUACCAAGGCAGCAUUUGACUGAAUAAGUCAAUAAAGAGACCUGGUAAAAGUGAAGUUAAUUCCAUUAUUCUUAGCUCCUCAACAACCGAAGGAGCUUAUGCCUGCAUGCAACAAUAUCUCCUCAACAUUUAGGCAUAGGCUGAUAUUUGUGUUACAAUACACCAGACAAUGAAAAUCUUCAAUAAGAGGGAGUCUAACUAGAAACUCUUGAUGUUAUCUUUGCCAAGUUCUCCACCAUUUAUAUACUGGAGGUCAAUGUAAAUCGGAAACUAAUUUGGACCAACAACAUAAAUACUGUGGCUACUGGUGUUGGUGAGAGACUGGGUAUCCUGUGGAAAGUGACACACCACCUGAUAUCCCAAGACCUUUUUACUAUCUGCAAAGCAGAAGUCAAGAGCAUGAUAGAACUCUGCACGUGUAUAGUAGAGUGCAGCACCAUAAAUUCUCAUGAGGCUAGAUGCCAUUCAGAGUAAAAUUACCCACUUGUUCAGAACUCCAAAAAUCAUCCUGACCCAUCAGCAUGCGAUGGCCGCCAUGUAUACUGUCUGUUAAAUGCACUACAAUUGCUUAUUAGAAAUGCAAAAGUCAUAAAUUUUAGUUUCUGUAUCAAACUCCAUUCCUUAGUCAACAAUGUCAUCCUUCUCCUUGUCCGAAAUUGAAUCACAUAUUUACAACUGCAAUGUUAUAUUUGACAUCCUAUAAAUGCUCAAUCACAUGAGACAAUUCCACCUCUGUGGUAUUUAGAAUUCUACCCUUGCCUCAGCACUAUGGCUGCUUUAAAUCCCUGAGACUUCCAAGGCAUGAUGGCAGGAUCAUCUCAUUCUAUUUUUCAUUAACUUGAGGUCUGAUUUUCAUAUUCUUGCAUAGACUUGCCCCGCCACUAUCUUGAAAUUCCUUCCUUCUCUAAAGACCCCUGAGGCAUCUUUUCUCUUAUUCUGGCCUCUUCAUCAUCUGACUUUAAGUGCUCCUGUGUUGACGAUGUUUCCUUUUUUUGUCAAUCCUUAAUUCUGGAAUUCUCUUUCCAAAUCUCUCUGCCUCCAUGUAUUUUUUGAUCCUCUAAAACAUUCCUAAAUACCAACUUCGUAAUGCAAGCUUUCAUUCAUCUGCAUUACCUAACGUUUUUUAAUCUUGCUCCUGUGAUGCAUGUUGAAUGUUAUAUUUGAUAUAUGUCUCUACAUUAAAGGCAAAAUAUAUUAA
Molecule: long non-coding RNA, 1630 nt
Organism: Amblyraja radiata (thorny skate)
Lineage: Eukaryota; Metazoa; Chordata; Chondrichthyes; Rajiformes; Rajidae
Exons: 2
Source: RefSeq, a predicted model, not a curated record